RNAcentral lists this ribosomal RNA (135 nucleotides) under Triticum aestivum (bread wheat). RNAcentral describes it as "partial small subunit ribosomal RNA". The record is from RNAcentral. Lineage: Eukaryota; Viridiplantae; Streptophyta; Magnoliopsida; Poales; Poaceae.
AUGAUCCCUAAGGUCAACUCACCGGAGUUGCUCUCUCAGUUCAGACCGAUAAGCCUCUGUAACGUGUUAUACAAGAUAGCAACGAAGGUGUUGGCCAAUAGACUCAAGGGCAUCCUUCCUUUUCUCAUCUCAGAG